UAGAAUAAAAGUAUGUGAAUUACAGAAUAAUAUGGGUAAGGAUGAAAUUAAGGCUGCAGAAUGUAUUUCUAAUAGCAAUGUAUGUUCCUGUGGAUGUACAAGUGAGAAUAAAAAAGAUAAAUUUUGAUGUGACUUGAAUGAUUUCAUAAAUGAUGGUGGUGACACUGAGUGAGUAUUGUGACAGGAGAUUUGAGUAGCAGAGUUGAUGUGAAGGAGGAUGGUUGGGAAAUACGGUGAUUUAUAAUAAAUGACAAUGGUAUUCAAAAUUAUUCAAAAAUUGCUUUUUAACUCUAGUCCAUGUAAAAAUAAAUAGCACUAAUAAACAAUAUAAUAAAUAUUAUUUCUUAUUUAUGAGAAAUAAUGUACAGAGAGAGCAGUGGAAUAUGAUUGUGUGGAUCUGACAGAUGAUGUGUACAGGCUUGAGCCUACUGCGGUUCUGUGGUAGGUGCAUAGGUAAGAACAGCAAGCUAAGAGUGACUCUCGACACAACAAAGAGACUAUACUAUGGUUCACAUAAACCUGAGAUCUUUACUGAGAGAGAGAGAGAGAGAGUGGUAUUAUUUACACAAUGUCUAUGGAGGGCAAAUACCUUUCUUUUGCCAAAGAUGCACAGUUUCUUACUAAUCCAUCGACAGAAUUCAAAUAAAAGUCUUUAGUCCAAUUAUAACAAUCUUUAGUCCUUUUUUUCUUUUAAAUGUAGAUUUUUCCAUGUCAAAUCAUGUAGAAUCACAACAAUUGUCGCUUGAUUUACUUCUUAAUUCUAAUCUUCUUAAGUCAAAGGCAUUUUGAGCAGGUUCGAAGUCAGGUUGGCGGAGAAAUGGUGACUCUUCUGGGGAUGAUUUAUCCGCCUUACUCUCUCUGUUAGUUCUCUGGUUUCUUCUCGCAUUUGCUCCCUUCCUUCAUUUUCCAAUGUCUAUAUAUACCUUUUUUUGGCAUCUGCUAUUGCAGAUUUCCUGUGGUUAGGAGCAUAUUUAAUCCAAUAAUUAGCAAAUGUUCCAUGUUAAUCUAACUUCUCUUUUUCCUGUU
This 1026-nucleotide long non-coding RNA is filed under the name Androctonus crassicauda. The record is from RNAcentral. Lineage: Eukaryota; Metazoa; Arthropoda; Arachnida; Scorpiones; Buthidae.